GAUGAACGCUAGCGGCAGGCCUAACACAUGCAAGUCGAGGGAGGAGCCUUCGGGCUUCGACCGGCGUACGGGUGCGUAACGCGUAUACAAUCUGCCUUUCACAUAGGGAUAGCCCGAAGAAAUUUGGAUUAAUACCUAAUGGUAUAUAGGGGUGGCAUCACAUUUAUAUUAAAGCUGAGGCGGUGAAAGAUGAGUAUGCGUUCUAUUAGCUAGUUGGAGAGGUAACGGCUCCCCAAGGCUACGAUAGAUAGGGGUUCUGAGAGGGAUAUCCCCCACACUGGUACUGAGAUACGGACCAGACUCCUACGGGAGGCAGCAGUGAGGAAUAUUGGACAAUGGUCGGAAGACUGAUCCAGCCAUGCCGCGUGCAGGAAGACGGCCUUAUGGGUUGUAAACUGCUUUUGCAGGGGAAGAAUAAGGACUACGAGUAGUUUGAUGACGGUACUCUGCGAAUAAGCAUCGGCUAACUCCGUGCCAGCAGCCGCGGUAAUACGGAGGAUGCGAGCGUUAUCCGGAAUCAUUGGGUUUAAAGGGUCCGUAGGCGGGCUAAUAAGUCAGAGGUGAAAGCGCUCAGCUCAACUGAGCAACUGCCUUUGAAACUGUUAGUCUUGAAUGGUUGUGAAGUAGUUGGAAUGUGUAGUGUAGCGGUGAAAUGCUUAGAUAUUACACAGAACACCGAUAGCGAAGGCAUAUUACUAACAAUUAAUUGACGCUGAUGGACGAAAGCGUGGGGAGCGAACAGG
RNAcentral lists this ribosomal RNA (743 nucleotides) under uncultured Capnocytophaga sp. RNAcentral describes it as "bacterial SSU rRNA". It matches the Rfam family "Bacterial small subunit ribosomal RNA", at positions 28 to 776 of the family's 1533-position model. Lineage: Bacteria; Pseudomonadati; Bacteroidota; Flavobacteriia; Flavobacteriales; Flavobacteriaceae. The record is from RNAcentral.